CAAACCAUGUGGCGGAACUAGACCCACUUUGGGUCGACCUGCUGGGUCCAAACACCUGGAACCGGACCCUGCUCAGGUCGACUGCCGUCCCUAAAUUGACAUGAGCGUGAAUUUCUUCAGAUGCCAAACCGAUUCAGGCUCCUCCUUACAUCUUUCCUCCUUUUUCCCACGCAAGAAGAAGACCAGGGUCUUCUCUCACUAUUCUCUUCCAAACUCCAAAUUUGUCUCUCUAGCUCUACGGUCUACUGCUCCCCUUUUUAAUCAACAAGAUUAGGCCCUGAACUUUCUCUCCACCCACCUUCCUAUUUCUCUCUCUACAAAACCUCUCUUUUCUCCCUCUACGCAUGCUUUGUUCCACUGCUACUACUUCCCAUCCAUUCCGCUGUGUUAAACCACAUUACACACAGAUUAAUGGACGCCGCGCACGCAUGAAAUAGAGCGUCAUAAUGGCGCAAACUUUGUCAUAAUUUCAGGUUUCUUGAAGCUCAUUUUCUUCACAUUUAUAUGGGCCAUUUAGAAAAAAAUUGAAAUGAAUGUAUCGGGCAAGCAUGAGUAGGAUUUUCAGGUGGUUUGAGUGGUGUGCGUGCAUCAAAGAUCCAGGUUCGAUUUUCUGUUAGCGACAACAAUCGGCUACAGUUGUCAAGCCUUCAGGCCCCAAUACUACCACUUGGAUCUGGAACCUACAUGCCGAUGCUCACAUUUGCGGAUCUCUGUGAUUUGUCUUGUAAUGGCUAUUGCCAUCUAUAAGGGAUUGCCUUGUGAUUCUUGUUUCCAUGGAGGUGCUUGCUAGUAGUCAUGAUUUUUAAUUUGCAGUGUUCCUCAUACAUGCGUAAUAUCGAUGGCAAAUUAUGGUGGAUUCGUCUACACUUCACCUCUAUCUAGAUUUUCAAGGUAAUAGCAUGAACAACCACAAUCUUGAGUGAUCUCGAAUAUGUCUAGUAAUGAGGUUUUGCUGAAUGAUUAUCACUGAAUAUUCCUUCUGUAUUACCAGACAUUUGGAACAAGCAAUGGCUAUUCAGAAAUUCGAGUAAGCGUUAACAAGAAGAAAAUAAACCAUUGCCCAGAGAGAGAGACGCUUUAUUAUGGUGGGAUUUGCUUUUGGGUUGGAAAGAAAUGGCGGUGAGAGAAGAAUAUAUGUAAAUUGGAUAUCUCAACAAAUGUGAAUUACCUGCAAUUUUCA
Long non-coding RNA from Amborella trichopoda, 1180 nucleotides. RefSeq lists it as uncharacterized. NCBI's taxonomy places the organism in Eukaryota, Viridiplantae, Streptophyta, Magnoliopsida, Amborellales, Amborellaceae. The record is from RefSeq and is a predicted model, not a curated record.